RNAcentral lists this ribosomal RNA (217 nucleotides) under Vibrio parahaemolyticus. RNAcentral's name for it is "partial 16S ribosomal RNA". It matches the Rfam family "Bacterial small subunit ribosomal RNA", at positions 1 to 215 of the family's 1533-position model. The record is from RNAcentral. Lineage: Bacteria; Pseudomonadati; Pseudomonadota; Gammaproteobacteria; Vibrionales; Vibrionaceae.
AAAUUGAAGAGUUUGAUCAUGGCUCAGAUUGAACGCUGGCGGCAGGCCUAACACAUGCAAGUCGAGCGGAAACGAGUUAUCAGAACCUUAGGGGGACGAUAACGGCGUCGAGCGGCGGACGGGUGAGUAAUGCCUAGGAAAUUGCCCUGAUGUGGGGGAUAACCAUUGGAAACGAUGGCUAAUACCGCAUGAUGCCUACGGGCCAAAGAGGGGGACC